This 253-nucleotide ribosomal RNA is filed under the name uncultured bacterium. RNAcentral describes it as "partial 16S ribosomal RNA". It matches the Rfam family "Bacterial small subunit ribosomal RNA", at positions 524 to 776 of the family's 1533-position model. The record is from RNAcentral.
UACAGAGGGGGCAAGCGUUAUUCGGAAUUAUUGGGCGUAAAGGGCGCGUAGGCGGCUUGGCAAGUGGAAGGUGAAAUCCCUCGGCUUAACCGAGGAACUGCCCUCCAAACUGCUUCGCUUGAGACCGGGAGAGGUGAGUGGAAUUCCCAGUGUAGUGGUGAAAUACGUAGAGAUUGGGAAGAACACCAGUGGCGAAGGCGGCUAUCUGGACGGUUUCUGACGCUAAGACGCGAAAGCGUGGGGAGCAAACAGG